Molecule: transfer RNA, 68 nt
Filed under: Parcoblatta uhleriana
Lineage: Eukaryota; Metazoa; Arthropoda; Insecta; Blattodea; Blattellidae
Description: tRNA-Asn
Source: RNAcentral
UUAAUCGAAACCAAAACAGAGGUAUAUUACUGUUAAUAAUAUAAUUGAAUAUCAAUAUUCCGAUUAAG